RNAcentral lists this ribosomal RNA (102 nucleotides) under uncultured bacterium. RNAcentral's name for it is "partial 16S ribosomal RNA". It matches the Rfam family "Bacterial small subunit ribosomal RNA", at positions 394 to 508 of the family's 1533-position model. The record is from RNAcentral.
CGACCGCGUGGAGGAUGACGGCCUUCGGGUUGUAAACUCCUUUUCUGUGGGAAGAGCGAGAAGACGGUACCACACGGAAUAAGUCUCCGGCUAACUACGUGC